UUUUACUUGAGAGUUUGAUCCUGGCUCAGAAUCAACGCUGGCGGCGUGCCUAACACAUGCAAGUCGCGCGCGAAAGCCCCCGCAAGGGGGCAAGUAGAGCGGCGCACGGGUGAGUAACACGUGGGCAACCUACCCUCGAGUGGGGAACAACCUCGCGAAAGCGAGGCUGAUACCGCAUACGACCUCCGGUCCGCAUGGACCGGAGAGGAAAGCAGCAAUGCGCUGGAGGAGGGACCCGCGGCCGAUUAGCUAGUUGGUGGGGUAACGGCCCACCAAGGCUAUGAUCGGUAUCCGGCCUGAGAGGGCGCACGGACACACUGGAACUGAAACACGGUCCAGACUCCUACGGGAGGCAGCAGUGGGGAAUUUUGCGCAAUGGGGGAAACCCUG
This 390-nucleotide ribosomal RNA is filed under the name Acidobacteriota bacterium. Its description in RNAcentral is "bacterial SSU rRNA". It matches the Rfam family "Bacterial small subunit ribosomal RNA", at positions 1 to 385 of the family's 1533-position model. Lineage: Bacteria; Pseudomonadati; Acidobacteriota. The record is from RNAcentral.